GAGUGCUUUGGCCGCUGUCUGGACCUUGGUGGGGCCUUUCAGCAGGAAGAGGCUCAGCCUGGGCCGCCUCAGGGCCAUCUGAGAUCUCAGGAGGGUCUCACCUCUGUGGCUUCGUAAAGUGCUUGAGAUGGAGCCCAGAGCCUCAGUCAUGCUGGGCAAAUGCUCCAGCCUGAGUUGUGCCUCAGGCUUCCCUGGAACCCUUGACCGCUGAGGCCAGGUGUGGGGUCCCAGACAAGCCUCUCAGUGCAGGAUCACACAGUUGCCGAGAUUGAAUAUGGAAACCUUUGGAAAGUACAGGACUAAAGAGAAACUGAAAGUGUGAGAAGUUAACUGAAGUGCAGUCUGAAAGGAAGAUAGAACAUCAUCCACAGUAUACAAUGUGAAAAUGACCCAGCUGCCACACAGCCUUUGAGGAACACAUUUAUUUAUCAUGUGAGGACCUGUGCACACAGAUCAGCACCAAUACCAUCCUGGCAGGGGAGAAAUCGAAGUCCCUUCACUAAUAGGCACUGCUUUGUUAUCUCCACAAAGAGAAGCUGAUGACCUGAAAGUAAGACGUGUAGAUGGUCCAGGUAAGAUUUGAGAAUGGUGGGGAAAAUAUGCCAUUGCCCUGAAUAAGCUACUCGGUAACAUCUAAUCCUGAAGAAAGGCAUUUCCUGACACUUGUGUAUUGCUAUAAUGGUACACCGGAUGUGAACUAUGUCUCCAAAUAAUUUGCUCUCCAAGAAACAAAAAUCUAUCCCUCUACUGCUAUUACCAGAAUGCUCUAGACAAAUACAUGCAAUUUCAUGUCCUUUUGCUGAAGCAAAUCAGCUGAAUUUUAUGCUGUCAUUUUCCCCAGCGAAGCCGAUGUCAUUACCAUCCGAAGGCAGCAACUCUGCAGUUAUCACAUGUCCUCCCGAAUCCUUCCCUCAAAUGUCAGUGUCGUCAGAUGCAUUCCAUGGGUUGCACUCAAAGAACAGCUCUGUUACACUGCCACCCUGAAUCAAGCUUACAAAAGAAGGACAGAGUUUUCCUGGCAAGAACUUAGAUUCCAAUUCCUGUGCCUAAUUCUAGGGUAUCAACAGCGCAGAGCACCCGGGGUCCAAGGCAGGUCGUGUUCCCGUCGUGGGCCCCUCUCUGUGUGCUACUGAUUUAGGCUUGAUAAUGCAUGGGGCCUGAAAUCCCAACCGUCCGCAGCCAAGCUCAGCGAGAUGGCCACACCUUCCCCAUGCACAUCCUCAGGCCUAUUAACUUUAAUGUAACUUAUAUGACAGUAAAAAUAUUCAUAAACUUGAAGACAACCUUGCUCCUUCUAGAGCUUUUCCAUUUCAAAGCAUACUUUUAUAUAAAGUACGGUUAUUUGAGCAAAAGAAGAAGUAUUUCUUUCCAUAACUUUCUUCCUAAACAGAUGAGCAAGAAUGUAUUGUAUGAUAAUUAUAAUUUCAACCAUUUUAAAGCCCCGUUCUCUAGUAGAUGAACGUACUGUGUGCCUCUUUAUCUGUAAAGCAGCAUAGUCAAGUUACUUAAGUGCUUCUUGUCUUCAUCUGUCUGGGUUGCUUUGAUGCCGUACCACAGCCUGCGUGGCUUAUCAACGCCAGGAGCUCAGCUGUUACGGCUCUGGAGGCUGAGGUCUGAGACCCGAGCACCACCGAGGCUGGGAUUCCUGGAGCACUCUCUUCUGGGGUGUCGACGACUGAUUUCUGUCCUCACCCAGGGAAAGAGCACAUGCUCCUCUCUGGCCCGGAUGAGGCCACCACCCCUGCUUACUGGGGUGAUAAGCUUCUAGUCCCAAACGCUGAGCACCAUGGUGUCAGAAGUCAGCUUUCAGGGUGGACGUGAGGUGGAGGAUGCAAACCCCAGUGUGCACGGCCUCUCCAGGGACCGUAGGACCCCAGGAAACCCAGGGCGAUGGCUCUGCUGCCUCCAAGUACCACCCAUUGGACCAGGGUCUGUGGAGAUGGGGACAGGGCUCUCCACCUGUUCUACUGAGGAGACCUUCAGGAGAGGCCCCGUGCCUGUGUGCCCUCGG
Long non-coding RNA from Chinchilla lanigera (long-tailed chinchilla), 2011 nucleotides. RefSeq lists it as uncharacterized. The record is from RefSeq and is a predicted model, not a curated record. The transcript has 3 exons. Lineage: Eukaryota; Metazoa; Chordata; Mammalia; Rodentia; Chinchillidae.